CGGCAACUUCCGCUUGGGGUUCUUGAGUCCCUCCAGACGACGCUAACGAUCCAAUCAUUUUCCACACCGAAUUAUAUUCCAGAAUUAUAUUUAAUCAACCUACUAUGCAUCUUUUGGCAUGCGAUUGGCUGGUGAUCAGUUCAGGGUGUACCCCACCUCCUGCCCAUUGACAGCCGGGAUAGGCUCCAGCACUCCCUGCGAUCCUCGUGAGGCUAAGCGGCGAAGAAAACGGAUGGAUGGAUGGUCGAGUGAGGGUUGCCGCCUCCAAAACUCUCACGCACACACAGAAGCCGCCGUCCACACUGAAGUUAUUUGAAAGAAUAAAGACAGGCACUCAUUGGCUGACCCGCAGGCUUUUUGUGUGCUAGUUUUUAAGACUAUUGAGUGCUGUCUCAUUUGGAAAAAGUUGGGACCAUGACAUUUUUUCACCCCCCCCCCCCCCCCAAAAAAAAAAGUUUGGUAAUUGCAUCACCUUUUACCUUUUGAAGAAUGGUUCUGGAGUAUAACCAACAAUAAUCAACUACUAUACAUUAAGUUACAUUAUGUUGCACACACAAAAAAAUGGUUUAUAAAAUGAUUUAUUCAUGUUAACAUCGCUGUUACACAGGGAUUCAAACGGUUCCACAAGGCUUUAGGGGACUACAAUUGAAUGAUUAGCAAAACAAUAGUGGUCCAAAUCUCUAAAUGACAAGCACUGGACAGACAAGCAGACCACCCUCUUUUUCGAAUGUGUACAAACCUGCAUUGAAAAAAAAAAAAGAUUAAACUUGACAAAUUGAACUUGUGUGUUACAGCAUUUGUUCCCAUUCCAGUGUAAUAUCUCAAGAGACAUGCAAAUGACAGAAUUGUCUUCAUUUACUCAUUUGAAAGGUCUUGGCAUGUCGGCCAGUGAAGCCCCCCCACAACCCCCCUCCCCCCUUGCCCCAAAGAGACAUGCUUCAGUGAAAGUGGCAUCAAAGUGAGGAUGAAUCCAAUGGAGACUACGAUUUGCUGCCAGCAUGCAUGGAACACUGGCAUUCCCUGCAGCAUGAAAACUAUCUGAAGUGGAAUUUCAGACGCUGUAACCGUACCACAUGAUUGCUCUUUUUUUUUGUCUUUUAUUUUUUUAAAGACAGAAGGAAGAGGAAACUAAGAUGAUAACCUGGAAACAAAAUCUUCCUCAGAGGUUGAACUGCCAGUUGUUCGAUGUAGGGGACUUGGGAGGAUUUCUGCCUCUAACUUUAGGAAACAGCGUAAGAUGUGAAGCUAUCAAUACUCUUCUACAUCUGAAAUUGCACAUACUGAAAAGGCCAGGACACACACACAAACCAAAGGAAUGGAGGGUUUUACUUUUACGGGUUAUCCUAAUCUUUUUUCUUUACUCCCAUUUUUUUUUUUCAUGAUUACAUGAUUUUUUUUCCCAGCAAUGGGUUUCAUUGGAAGAAUGUAGGAUCGGAGCAAUAGGGAAUGACGGAUGUGUAAAAAGUUUUUUUUGUUUUUUUUAAUCCUUUUGUUGGUUUGAGAGAACAAGGACUUUUUUUUUUUUCUUUUUUUAGUUCUCAGUUU
Long non-coding RNA from Syngnathoides biaculeatus (alligator pipefish), 1545 nucleotides. RefSeq lists it as uncharacterized. The record is from RefSeq and is a predicted model, not a curated record. Lineage: Eukaryota; Metazoa; Chordata; Actinopteri; Syngnathiformes; Syngnathidae. The transcript is spliced from 3 exons.